GAUGAAGAACGUAGCGAAAUGCGAUAAGUAAUGUGAAUUGCAGGAUUCAGUGAAUCAUCGAAUCUUUGAACGCACAUUGCGCCCGCCAGUAUUCUGGCGGGCAUGCCUGUUCGAGCGUCAUUACAACCCUCAGGCCCCCGGGCCUGGCGUUGGGGAUCGGCGGAGCCCCCCGUGGGCACACGCCGUCCCCCAAAUACAGUGGCGGUCCCGCCGCAGCUUCCAUCGCGUAGUAGCUAACACCUCGCGACUGGAGAGCGGCGCGGCCACGCCGUAAAACACCCAACUCUUCUGAAGUUGACCUCGAAUCAGGUAGGAAUACCCGCUGAACUUAAGCAUAUCAAUAAGCGGAGGA
This 352-nucleotide unclassified non-coding RNA is filed under the name soil metagenome. Its description in RNAcentral is "partial contains 5.8S ribosomal RNA, internal transcribed spacer 2, and large subunit ribosomal RNA". The stretch from base 1 to 120 matches the Rfam family "5.8S ribosomal RNA", at positions 35 to 154 of the family's 154-position model. The record is from RNAcentral.